Molecule: ribosomal RNA, 545 nt
Filed under: uncultured archaeon
Lineage: Archaea
Description: bacterial SSU rRNA
Rfam family: Bacterial small subunit ribosomal RNA
Source: RNAcentral
CAGCAGCCGCGGUAAUACGUAGGGGGCAAGCGUUGUCCGGAAUUAUUGGGCGUAAAGGGCAUGCAGGCGGUUGUUUAAGUCUGAUGUGAAAUCUUGUAGCUUAACUACAAGCGGUCAUUGGAAACUGAAUAACUUGAGUACAGAAGAGGAGAGUGGAAUUCCACGUGUAGCGGUGAAAUGCGUAGAGAUGUGGAGGAACACCAGUGGCGAAGGCGGCUCUCUGGUCUGUAACUGACGCUGAGAUGCGAAAGCGUGGGUAGCGAACAGGAUUAGAUACCCUGGUAGUCCACGCCGUAAACGAUGAGUGCUAGGUGUUAAGGGGUUUCCGCCCCUUAGUGCUGGAGUUAACGCAUUAAGCACUCCGCCUGGGGAGUACGGCCGCAAGGCUGAAACUCAAAAGAAUUGACGGGGGCCCGCACAAGCGGUGGAGCAUGUGGUUUAAUUCGAAGCUACGCGAAGAACCUUACCAGGUCUUGACAUCCCUCUGACCGGUAUAGAGAUAUACCUUUUCCUUCGGGAACAGAGGUGACAGGAGGUGCAUGGCC